GGUAUGUCUGUCCAGAAGGCAGAGCUCGUAGCCCUCAGGAGAGCCCUGCAUCUUGGAGCUAAGAAAAAGAGACAGCACUCCCAUGUGCAAGACAGGAACCCAUGUCUCCAGGAUGACCCCAGAACCAAGAAUCUUCAGUCUGCAGAACUCAAACAAUAGACAUGUUGCCACUGGAGCCCUUUACCAAGCAAGAAGUUCUUCAAUAAGAAAAAUCCAGCUUCCAGCUGCCCAAAUAGCUUGAUUCCAAUCAGCUUCUGACCGUCAACACUAGCCAAUAAGCUUGUGCCAAGUUUGAAAUUCCCCUAACUUCUUACAUUUUGCCCUGAACACUGGACAGGGAGAUAGAUUUGAGCCCUGCCUCCUGUCGGUUAACUCACAAUAAAAUGCUUUAUUUUCUCAAAA
Molecule: long non-coding RNA, 402 nt
Organism: Eubalaena glacialis (North Atlantic right whale)
Lineage: Eukaryota; Metazoa; Chordata; Mammalia; Artiodactyla; Balaenidae
Exons: 2
Source: RefSeq, a predicted model, not a curated record